CCUACGGGCGGCAGCAGUAGGGAAUAUUGCUCAAUGGGGGAAACCCUGAAGCAGCAACGCCGCGUGGAGGAUGAAGGUUUUCGGAUUGUAAACUCCUUUUGUUAGAGAAGAUAAUGACGGUAUCUAACGAAUAAGCACCGGCUAACUCCGUGCCAGCAGCCGCGGUAAUACGGAGGGUGCAAGCGUUACUCGGAAUCACUGGGCGUAAAGAGCGCGUAGGCGGGAUAGCAAGUCAGAUGUGAAAUCCUAUGGCUUAACCAUAGAACUGCAUUUGAAACUGUUAUUCUAGAGAAUGGGAGAGGUAGGUGGAAUUAUUGGUGUAGGGGUAAAAUCCGUAGAGAUCAAGAGGAAUACUCAUUGCGAAGGCGACCUGCUAGAACAUAACUGACGCUGAUGCGCGAAAGCGUGGGGAGCAAACAGGAUUAGAUACCCUAGUAGUC
Molecule: ribosomal RNA, 440 nt
Filed under: uncultured bacterium
Lineage: Bacteria
Description: partial 16S ribosomal RNA
Rfam family: Bacterial small subunit ribosomal RNA
Source: RNAcentral